UCCCACCACCGGCUCUGGGUCUGGGCACCUCUGACCCCACAGUGGGCGGAGUCAGCACCUCCGGACCAGCACCCUUUCCCACCCUGUCGGGGGCCCGGGGCUGCCCCUCGCCGAGCUUCCGGGCCCGGCGUCACGUUUCUUGUGAGCCCGGCUCGGUCCGGCUCGGUCCGGCUCGGUCCCCUCCCAGCCCGGCGUCCGGGGCCUGUAGGCUCCACCUCCGAGGUGCUGGAGGCGGUGGGUCACGUUUUCAGCUUCCGGGCUGGAGCCCCCGGCCCCGCCGCCCCCCAGCCCGGCCUCGAGCGGGCCCCGCCCACCCGGAGCUGGCACCGCGCCGGCUGCCGGCGGAUGUCGGGUGAGAAGCAAACAGAUAAGGCCGCCCGGGCGGGAGGCCGGAACGCCGCACGCGGGGCCGGGGGUUAUCGGGCGGCUGUGCCUUCCAGGCGACUCUGUCGGGUGUAACUGACACAUGAGAACCCGCAGACACAGGCGGACCCGGGAGACACUGCGGCUUGAGCUCCGCAUCCUUGCAGUAGAGCAAAUAUGACAACAAAGCGAAUCGUGUGGUUUUUUGUUUCCCAGCGCGUAUGAAAGUUAUGUUCACCCCCUACUGUUGUGUGCAGUAGCAUUAUCUUUUUAAAAUGUAUAUACCUUAAUUUAAAAAUGCCUUGUUGCUAAAAAAUGCUACGCAGCAUCGGAGCUCUUAGCAAAGACGACUCUAGCAAAGAUGCCAGCACAACAAAUAUAAUAGUAACGACAGUUUGAAAUACUGUGAGAAUGACUAGAAUGUGACACAGAGACACGAAGUGAACAGAUGCUGGUGGAAGAAUGGUGCCGUGACAGGCCUGCUCCACGCAGGGCGGCCACAGACCUUCAGUUUGUAAAAACUGCAAUGUUUGCGAAGCCCAAUGAAACAAGUCUGUCUGGACUCGAGUUCCGUUUCGUGAGCCGCAGCCCAGGCACGCACCUGGGCAGCCGCCGCCGCCAUCAGCACAGCGAUCACCUCCUCCGUCCCCCAAGGGGCCUGGGCCCCUUUGAGAAUCUGCCCGUCCACCAGCCACGGCAGCCGCGGAUCUGCUUGUGGUCACUGCAGGUUCAUUUGCAUUUUCUUGAAUUUCAUAUAAAUGGAAUCAUGCAAUGUGUACUUUUUUUGGUCUGGCUUCUUUCACUCAGGUUUUUGUGUGAAAUUCUUUUGAGAUCCAUCCACGUUGUGGUUUGAUUCAAUGUUUUGUUCCGUUUCACUGCUGGUACAAGUGGGCUGCAGUCUGCUCCUCGGUUCACCCACUGGUGGUCCUGGGAUGUCCCCAGUUUGGGGCUUUGACAAACAGAGCUGCUGGGCAGGUGUGCACAGCCUCAUGUGGCACAAGCCUUUGUUCCUCCUGGGCAAACACCCACAGUGGCAUGGCCGGAUCGUACAGCUGGCGUCUGAGCGACUUUUUAAGCCAGCCGUCCCCCAGCGUGGUGCUGUCUUGUGCGUCCCCACCAGCCACAGACGAGACUUCUGGUUUCCCCACAUCCUCACCGGCACUGGGCACUGUCCGUCUUCAGACUGUCGCCUGCGGGUCAUGGUGUCUUGCAUACCUGUCUCGCCGCCCGCAUGUCUGCUUUGGUCAAGUGUCCUUCAAAUCUUUGCACAUUAAAAAACUGGAUUAUCUGC
Camelus dromedarius (Arabian camel) is the source of this 1654-nucleotide long non-coding RNA. RefSeq lists it as uncharacterized. The transcript has 2 exons. Lineage: Eukaryota; Metazoa; Chordata; Mammalia; Artiodactyla; Camelidae. The record is from RefSeq and is a predicted model, not a curated record.